This is a long non-coding RNA of Rosa chinensis, 1395 nucleotides long. RefSeq lists it as uncharacterized. Lineage: Eukaryota; Viridiplantae; Streptophyta; Magnoliopsida; Rosales; Rosaceae. The record is from RefSeq and is a predicted model, not a curated record. The transcript has 3 exons.
CAUGAUCAUCAGUUCAGACACGCGUCCUUCACCCGUGAAAACCCCAUCUUUCUUUAGAACCUUCUCCUUUGUUUUCUACUCUGAUCAAACCUUUUCAUCCCUGGUGAAACUCCAUUUCUGUAGCAAAAGUGACUCAGAACAGAGCCAAAUCUUCUGGUUCACAAUUCUGAAUUGAGAGAAAGUUACAAGGUGAAAGUCUCUUCUGGUCACGCCUGUCAGCCAACUUCGACAGCUGAAAACUGCCAUUUCUGCUGUUCACAUCAGCACGACUUUUUCAUGAAAGUUGUUCGAAAUUGCGUCUUCUAUACUGUGCUCGAAAAUCAUGAUAAUCCAACGGUUAAUUCGUUCUCAAUCAAGUUACUACACAGAUUGGGUCAUGUUUCUCCAUCGACAUUGAGUUAAUUUCAUGAAGUUUACAUCUCCAUCUUGAGUUCACACACAAUUGAUUUUACAAUUGGAAUGGGGACAUGCAGUGGACUUCGAUCACCAAAGGAACAAUGAUAGAGGUGGUGGCUUAGUUCGUCGAUAUGUUUUCCAUUGCUAAGCUAUCAAGCUACUUCAUAUUUGAUUCCAGGUAGGGAAGCUUCACCCUAGUUAGUGCUCUUUGUUUUAUACAUUGUUUUUAUGGUUUGAAGUGGUUUUUAAGAUUUAACACUUGAGUUCAUGAGAUGACUUGAGAGUGAGCGGGGCAUAGCGACUUCCUUGGGUUUCGAUUCCCUAAACCUCCGAAGGGGCUGUAUGGACGGGAUAGUGUCUGACAUCCUUUGAGGUGUGACACUAGAUCUAGGUGGUAUGGCGUAAAUGGACACUCUCGCUACUCUUCACCUGUUGUUGAAGAUUUAAAUAUUCGGUGAGGAUGUAGUUGGCUAGUAUUAGACCGGUCAUUAGGUUUGAUUUUACCCGGGUACUCAUUCGUUUUCAUAUGGUUUCACAUUGGGAGUUCUUUAUUUAAUUUUAUUAUAUUUUACUCAACUGGCGCCAAUUACUAUUUGGUUUUAAAACCUAGCUAGGGUUGAUGUUUGAGCAGCGAGGACGAAAACUCACCCCUACUAUAGUUGGUCUUGCAGGUACUGUGCACGAGGAUUGAGGAGGAUUUCGGGACUGAGCUGGGUGUUACAUUUUUUACUUGACUCUUCGGUAUAUUUACCUUCACAUUUUUUUUCACCUCUACUAAAUUGUCAUUGUUUGAUUGAGGUGAAUGUUAACUUGUAUUUGUGAAUCUUUGCUGAGCUUCUUAACUUCGUAUUCAGAUGGUUUGAACCAAACUAGAAUUUAUUUUCAAUGUUGUCCUUUCAGUUUUGUGUCAAUUGAGUAGUAAUGUCUCUCUUGACACUGUUUAGUUAUAAUGUUCUUUUAACAAACAAGAAUAAAGUUUCAAUUUCACCUCGCUUUAAA